Eptesicus fuscus (big brown bat) is the source of this 310-nucleotide long non-coding RNA. RefSeq lists it as uncharacterized. NCBI's taxonomy places the organism in Eukaryota, Metazoa, Chordata, Mammalia, Chiroptera, Vespertilionidae. The transcript is spliced from 3 exons. The record is from RefSeq and is a predicted model, not a curated record.
AUCGAUCUUAUUACAUGGACUUCCCCUAACCUCUAGCAGUAGAAAGCUGUCACUAAAUUAGGAUGGUCAGGCUAGUGAUAUGUGAUGCAAGACUCUUUCAUGAUGUUGGGCAGCUGAAGCAAGCCACAGCCCCCAGUCAGGCACAUGAUCACACAACCGAUAUUGCCAGCGUUUUCUGAAUCUUGUGUUCUGAGCGCAUAUAAGAAUAAAAAACACAGUUGACUGAAGUCCAACAAGCAUCCGGUUGAAGCUAAAUGUCUGCUUUGGUGGCCGUGCCUGGCGAGUUCCAUCUCGGCUUUAUUUACUUGAA